Molecule: long non-coding RNA, 1368 nt
Filed under: Anser cygnoides (Swan goose)
Lineage: Eukaryota; Metazoa; Chordata; Aves; Anseriformes; Anatidae
Description: lncRNA (ENSACDG00005002261.1)
Source: RNAcentral
GCUAAAUAUUUGGUUUAAACACAAGAUUUUACAAGUGAGUAAAAAUAAUAAUAAUAAAAAAAAGACCACCAAAAAAAGAAAAGGAAAAAGGAAAGGAAAAAUAAAAAUGAAAUAAAUGUAAAUGUAAAUAUAAAUAUUGAUAUUAAAUAAUAAAAAAUAAAUAAAAUAAAUUAGUAUCAUUUCAUCCCUAUUUCAUAUAGUAAUGGGCAAAAAGUGUCAUAUACAACACCUCCCCACUUUACUUAAGUGUAAGAUUUUUCAUCUUCAGAUAUUCGAUGAUCAGACAGAAUGUACAACAGCGAGAGUGGGGUCUGGGCUACAUUGUCAAUGUACAAAACCUAAAAUUAUAUUCUAAAUUCUCUUCUUACUGGGGAGGAUGCCCAAACUGUAGAUGAUCCUGAGUGACUAGGAAAAGAAUAUAUAUAUAACACAAAUACUCUGUUCUGUGGUUGUGACAACAGAUUUCUUGGUACUCUUUCAGCAGAUGGUGCAUUGUGACAACUAUUUAUCCCUCUGACCAAUGCUGCCUUUUUGUUGCCUUCUGUUCUCUCAUUGGCAUGUCAUCUCCACCUGUUGCCUGCUUUUAUGUGCUCAGGACUUGUCCGCGGGAGUGUUCCUGCACCGUACUAAGUGGAUUCAGCAGGUGUUGGCAUUAUGCACUCGAUGUAAAUCUGCCUUUAACAGUAGACAAAGCAACAAGAGAGGACACUUCCUCACUACGUUUGCACAAUGAGGACAACAGUGAGAGGGUGAGGAAAGAACUGCUUUAUAACUAGAAUCCUUCAUCUCACUUAAAAGUGAAGAUAUAUUUUCUACAGAUAAUUUACAAAGGACAAAGUUAACUGAUGUGUUAAGAGACUGGACAGGUCCUACACUGCUGGCCAUAUCUUACCCUGCAGAAGUACUGGAUAUUGUUAUAUACUGCAACGCAAAACUUUAUUUUAACUUCUUCAUCACUUGAGCAGCAUAUGUAUGUGUAUCUGUCUAGAUAGAUAGCAGACAGACCAAUGAACAUAUUAACGACAUUUCAUCAGGUGUCACAGUGUGUUGAAAGAAAAUUUAUCUCCUGCAGGUCAUCACUAAUACCAUCGCAGUGAGGAGUAUGUAAUAACUUUUAGUUGUCAAUAGUGUAAUAGCAGAGGUGUUUACCAUGUAGACGAUCUAUUACAUUUUUAUGGGGCUGUCUGGGAAAUUUUAUAGGACUGAAUAUAAUCCAGGUUGCUAAAUUACAUGAAGCUGGUGUGAGUGAACAAUUUUAUGUUCAAAUAGACUUAAAGAAAACACAUUAUUAACAAACAUAUUAAAACAACUUUCAUUAGUGAAGAUAUCAGUAGCCAACAUAAAUUAUCUGACUAAUCUUUCCUUUAA